CCUACGGGAGGCAGCAGUGAGGAAUAUUGGUCAAUGGACGAGAGUCUGAACCAGCCAAGUAGCGUGAAGGAUGACUGCCCUAUGGGUUGUAAACUUCUUUUAUAAGGGAAUAAAACGCGGCACGUGUGCCUUUUUGCAUGUCCUUUAUGAAUCAGGCUCGGCUAACUCCGUGCCAGCAGCCGCGGUAAUCCGGAGUAUACGAGCGUUAUCCGGAUUUAUUGGGUUUAAAGGGAGCGUAGAUGGGUUGUUAAGUCAGUUGUGAAAGUUUGCGGCUCAACCGUAAAAUUGCAAUUGAUACUGGCAGUCUGGAGUACAGGUGAGGUAGGCGGAAUUCGUGGUGUAGCGGUGAAAUGCGUAGAUAUCACGAAGAACCCCGAUUGCGAAGGCAGCUUACUAAACUGUGACUGACAUUGAGGCUCGAAAGUGUGGGGAGCAAACAGGAUUAGAUACCCCAGUAGUC
RNAcentral lists this ribosomal RNA (460 nucleotides) under uncultured bacterium. RNAcentral describes it as "partial 16S ribosomal RNA". It matches the Rfam family "Bacterial small subunit ribosomal RNA", at positions 338 to 795 of the family's 1533-position model. The record is from RNAcentral.